RNAcentral lists this ribosomal RNA (425 nucleotides) under uncultured bacterium. RNAcentral describes it as "bacterial SSU rRNA". It matches the Rfam family "Bacterial small subunit ribosomal RNA", at positions 354 to 796 of the family's 1533-position model. The record is from RNAcentral.
GUGGGGAAUUUUGCGCAAUGGGGGAAACCCUGACGCAGCAACGCCGCGUGCGGGACGACGGCCUUCGGGUUGUAAACCGCUUUCAGCAGGGAAGAAAUUCGACGGUACCUGCAGAAGAAGCUCCGGCUAACUACGUGCCAGCAGCCGCGGUAAUACGUAGGGAGCGAGCGUUAUCCGGAUUCAUUGGGCGUAAAGAGCGCGUAGGCGGCCUCUCAAGCGGGAUCUCUAAUCCGAGGGCUCAACCCCCGGCCGGAUCCCGAACUGGGAGGCUCGAGUUCGGUAGAGGCAGGCGGAAUUCCCGGUGUAGCGGUGGAAUGCGCAGAUAUCGGGAAGAACACCGAUGGCGAAGGCAGCCUGCUGGGCCGCAACUGACGCUGAGGCGCGAAAGCUAGGGGAGCGAACAGGAUUAGAAACCCUAGUAGUCC